GUCUCUCUUGAGUGGAUCCUGAGUACGACGGAGCACGUGAAAUUCCGUCGGAAUCUGGGAGGACCAUCUCCUAAGGCUAAAUACUCUCUAGUGACCGAUAGUGAACCAGUACCGUGAGGGAAAGGUGAAAAGCACCCCGGAAGGGGAGUGAAAUAGAACCUGAAACCGUGUGCUUACAAGUAGUCAGAGCCCGUUAAUGGGUGAUGGCGUGCCUUUUGUAGAAUGAACCGGCGAGUUACGAUUUGAUGCAAGGUUAAGCAGUAAAUGUGGAGCCGUAGCGAAAGCGAGUCUGAAUAGGGCGUUUAGUAUUUGGUCGUAGACCCGAAACCAGGUGAUCUACCCUUGGUCAGGUUGAAGUUCAGGUAACACUGAAUGGAGGACCGAACCGACUUACGUUGAAAAGUGAGCGGAUGAACUGAGGGUAGCGGAGAAAUUCCAAUCGAACCUGGAGAUAGCUGGUUCUCUCCGAAAUAGCUUUAGGGCUAGCCUCAAGUGAUGAUUAUUGGAGGUAGAGCACUGUUUGGACGAGGGGCCCCUCUCGGGUUACCGAAUUCAGACAAACUCCGAAUGCCAAUUAAUUUAACUUGGGAGUCAGAACAUGGGUGAUAAGGUCCGUGUUCGAAAGGGAAACAGCCCAGACCACCAGCUAAGGUCCCAAAAUAUAUGUUAAGUGGAAAAGGAUGUGGCGUUGCCCAGACAACUAGGAUGUUGGCUUAGAAGCAGCCAUCAUUUAAAGAGUGCGUAAUAGCUCACUAGUCGAGUGACACUGCGCCGAAAAUGUACCGGGGCUAAACAUAUUACCGAAGCUGUGGAUUGUCCUUUGGACAAUGGUAGGAGAGCGUUCUAAGGGCGUUGAAGCAUGAUCGUAAGGACAUGUGGAGCGCUUAGAAGUGAGAAUGCCGGUGUGAGUAGCGAAAGACGGGUGAGAAUCCCGUCCACCGAUUGACUAAGGUUUCCAGAGGAAGGCUCGUCCGCUCUGGGUUAGUCGGGUCCUAAGCUGAGGCCGACAGGCGUAGGCGAUGGAUAACAGGUUGAUAUUCCUGUACCACCUAUAAUCGUUUUAAUCGAUGGGGGGACGCAGUAGGAUAGGCGAAGCGUGCGAUUGGAUUGCACGUCUAAGCAGUAAGGCUGAGUAUUAGGCAAAUCCGGUACUCGUUAAGGCUGAGCUGUGAUGGGGAGAAGACAUUGUGUCUUCGAGUCGUUGAUUUCACACUGCCGAGAAAAGCCUCUAGAUAGAAAAUAGGUGCCCGUACCGCAAACCGACACAGGUAGUCAAGAUGAGAAUUCUAAGGUGAGCGAGCGAACUCUCGUUAAGGAACUCGGCAAAAUGACCCCGUAACUUCGGGAGAAGGGGUGCUCUUUAGGGUUAACGCCCAGAAGAGCCGCAGUGAAUAGGCCCAAGCGACUGUUUAUCAAAAACACAGGUCUCUGCUAAACCGUAAGGUGAUGUAUAGGGGCUGACGCCUGCCCGGUGCUGGAAGGUUAAGAGGAGUGGUUAGCUUCUGCGAAGCUACGAAUCGAAGCCCCAGUAAACGGCGGCCGUAACUAUAACGGUCCUAAGGUAGCGAAAUUCCUUGUCGGGUAAGUUCCGACCCGCACGAAAGGCGUAACGAUUUGGGCACUGUCUCAACGAGAGACUCGGUGAAAUCAUAGUACCUGUGAAGAUGCAGGUUACCCGCGACAGGACGGAAAGACCCCGUGGAGCUUUACUGUAGCCUGAUAUUGAAAUUCGGCACAGCUUGUACAGGAUAGGUAGGAGCCUUUGAAACGUGAGCGCUAGCUUACGUGGAGGCGCUGGUGG
Molecule: ribosomal RNA, 1801 nt
Filed under: Staphylococcus aureus
Lineage: Bacteria; Bacillati; Bacillota; Bacilli; Caryophanales; Staphylococcaceae
Description: partial 23S ribosomal RNA
Rfam family: Bacterial large subunit ribosomal RNA
Source: RNAcentral